Molecule: ribosomal RNA, 497 nt
Filed under: uncultured bacterium
Lineage: Bacteria
Description: partial 16S ribosomal RNA
Rfam family: Bacterial small subunit ribosomal RNA
Source: RNAcentral
GAUGAACGCUGGCGGCGUGCCUAAUACAUGCAAGUCGAGCGAACGGACGAGAAGCUUGCUGCUCUGAUGUUAGCGGCGGACGGGUGAGUAACACGUGGAUAACCUACCUAUAAGACUGGGAUAACUUCGGGAAACCGGAGCUAAUACCAGAUAAUAUUUUGAACCGCAUGGUUCAAAAGUGAAAGACGGUCUUGCUGGCACUUAUAGAUGGAUCCGCGCUGCAUUAGCUAGUUGGUAAGGUAACGGCUUACCAAGGCAACGAUGCAUAGCCGACCUGAGAGGGUGAUCGGCCACACGGGAACUGAGACACGGUCCAGACUCCUACGGGAGGCAGCAGUAGGGAAUCUUCCGCAAUGGGCGAAAGCCUGACGGAGCAACGCCGCGUGAGUGAUGAAGGCCUUCGGAUCGUAAAACUCUGUUAUUAGGGAAGAACAUAUGUGUAAGUAACUGUGCACAUAUUGACGGUACCUAAUCAGAAGGCCACGGCUAACUACGUG